Populus trichocarpa (black cottonwood) is the source of this 156-nucleotide non-coding RNA. Lineage: Eukaryota; Viridiplantae; Streptophyta; Magnoliopsida; Malpighiales; Salicaceae. The record is from Rfam.
UCUAGAACUCGAUAUAUGGGCUAAACACUGAACAGUGUCUGGGCCGCAAGACAAAUUCCGACUUCUCUAUUGUUGCUAUAAUUGAAACUUGAAAACGGUCCUUUUGAAUCCUGGACUCAUCAUUAACAUUUUAGGCAUAUGUCUUAACUUUCUAUC